RNAcentral lists this ribosomal RNA (2880 nucleotides) under Stenotrophomonas maltophilia. RNAcentral's name for it is "23S ribosomal RNA". It matches the Rfam family "Bacterial large subunit ribosomal RNA". The record is from RNAcentral. Lineage: Bacteria; Pseudomonadati; Pseudomonadota; Gammaproteobacteria; Lysobacterales; Lysobacteraceae. RNAcentral also lists the same sequence under 2 other names.
GGUCAAGCGAAUAAGCGCACACGGUGGAUGCCUUGGCGGUCAGAGGCGAUGAAGGACGUGGCAGCCUGCGAAAAGUAUCGGGGAGCUGGCAACAAGCUUUGAUCCGGUAAUGUCCGAAUGGGGAAACCCACCCGCUUGCGGGUAUCCUGCAGUGAAUACAUAGCUGCUGGAAGCGAACCUGGUGAACUGAAAUAUCUAAGUAACCAGAGGAAAAGAAAUCAACCGAGAUUCCGUAAGUAGCGACGAGCGAACGCGGACUAGCCCUUAAGCUGGAUUGGUUCUAGGAAAACGCUCUGGAAAGAGCGGCCAUAGAAGGUGAUAGCCCUGUAUCUGAAAGGGCCAUUCCAGUGAAGACGAGUAGGGCGGGGCACGUGAAACCCUGUCUGAACAUGGGGGGACCAUCCUCCAAGGCUAAAUACUACUGACCGACCGAUAGUGAACCAGUACCGUGAGGGAAAGGCGAAAAGAACCCCGGAGAGGGGAGUGAAAUAGAACCUGAAACCGUGUGCGUACAAGCAGUAGGAGCUCCGCAAGGAGUGACUGCGUACCUUUUGUAUAAUGGGUCAGCGACUUACUGUUCGUGGCAAGCUUAACCGUAUAGGGGAGGCGAAGGGAAACCGAGUCUGAUAAGGGCGCAUAGUCGCGGGCAGUAGACCCGAAACCGGGUGAUCUAGUCAUGCCCAGGGUGAAGGUGCGGUAACACGCACUGGAGGCCCGAACCCACUCCCGUUGCAAAGGUAGGGGAUGAGGUGUGAUUAGGAGUGAAAAGCUAAUCGAACCCGGAGAUAGCUGGUUCUCCUCGAAAGCUAUUUAGGUAGCGCCUCAUAUGUAUCCUCUCGGGGGUAGAGCACUGUUAUGGCUAGGGGGUCAUCGCGACUUACCAAACCAUUGCAAACUCCGAAUACCGAGACGGACUGUAUGGGAGACACACGGCGGGUGCUAACGUCCGUCGUGAAAAGGGAAACAACCCAGACCCACAGCUAAGGUCCCAAAUUUUGUGCUAAGUGGAAAACCAUGUGGAAAGGCACAGACAGCCAGGAGGUUGGCUUAGAAGCAGCCACCCUUUAAAGAAAGCGUAAUAGCUCACUGGUCGAGUCGGUCUGCGGGGAAGAUUUAACGGGGCUAAGCACAGAACCGAAGCUUGGGGUGCAUAACUUUGUUAUGCGCGGUAGAGGAGCGUUCCGUAAGCCGUUGAAGGUGGAUUGAGAAGUCUGCUGGAGGUAUCGGAAGUGCGAAUGCUGACAUGAGUAACGAUAAUGCGGGUGAAAAACCCGCACGCCGAAAGCCCAAGGUUUCCUUGCGCAACGUUAAUCGGCGCAGGGUGAGUCGGCCCCUAAGGCGAGGACGAAAGUCGUAGUCGAUGGGAAGCAGGUUAAUAUUCCUGCACCUCGCGUAAGUGCGAUGGAGGGACGGAGAAGGUUAGGUGUACCAGGCGUUGGUUGUCCUGGGGAAAGGCGGUAGGUUUGGAUCUUUGGCAAAUCCGGGAUCCUUUAAGACCGAGCACCGAGACGAGCCUUUAUGGCGAAGUCACUGAUACCACGCUUCCAGGAAAAGCUCCUAAGCUUCAGCUUACGCAGACCGUACCGUAAACCGACACAGGUGGGUAGGAUGAGAAUUCUCAGGCGCUUGAGAGAACUCGGGUGAAGGAACUAGGCAACAUGGCACCGUAACUUCGGGAGAAGGUGCACCCUUUUUGGUGGCUCGUGCGAGCUAUAGCUGAAGAGGGUCGCAGUAACCAGGCCGCUGCGACUGUUUAUCAAAAACACAGCACUCUGCAAACACGAAAGUGGACGUAUAGGGUGUGACGCCUGCCCGGUGCUGGAAGGUUAAUUGAUGGGGUCAGCCGCAAGGCGAAGCUCUUGAUCGAAGCCCCAGUAAACGGCGGCCGUAACUAUAACGGUCCUAAGGUAGCGAAAUUCCUUGUCGGGUAAGUUCCGACCUGCACGAAUGGCGUAACGACAGCGGCGCUGUCUCCACCCGAGACUCAGUGAAAUUGAAAUCGCUGUGAAGAUGCAGCGUUCCCGUGGCAAGACGGAAAGACCCCGUGAACCUUUACUAUAGCUUUACACUGAACGUUGAGUUCGUCUGUGUAGGAUAGGUGGGAGGCUAUGAAACUGUGGCGCUAGCUGCAGCGGAGCCAUCCUUGAAAUACCACCCUGUCGUGCUUGACGUUCUAACCUGGGCCCAUUAUCUGGGUCGGGGACCGUGUAUGGUGGGUAGUUUGACUGGGGCGGUCUCCUCCUAAAGAGUAACGGAGGAGCUCGAAGGUACGCUCAGCGCGGUCGGACAUCGCGCACUGUGUGCAAAGGCAUAAGCGUGCUUGACUGCAAGAUCGACGGAUCAAGCAGGUAGGAAACUAGGACUUAGUGAUCCGGUGGUUCUGUAUGGAAGGGCCAUCGCUCAACGGAUAAAAGGUACUCCGGGGAUAACAGGCUGAUACCGCCCAAGAGUUCAUAUCGACGGCGGUGUUUGGCACCUCGAUGUCGGCUCAUCACAUCCUGGGGCUGUAGUCGGUCCCAAGGGUAUGGCUGUUCGCCAUUUAAAGUGGUACGCGAGCUGGGUUCAGAACGUCGUGAGACAGUUCGGUCCCUAUCUGCCAUGGGCGUUGGAGAUUUGAGAGGGGCUGCUCCUAGUACGAGAGGACCGGAGUGGACGAACCUCUGGUGUUCCGGUUGUCACGCCAGUGGCAUUGCCGGGUAGCUAUGUUCGGAAGCGAUAACCGCUGAAAGCAUCUAAGCGGGAAGCGCGCCUCAAGAUGAGAUCUCCCGGGGCACAAGCCCCCUGAAGGAACCAUGUAGACUACGUGGUUGAUAGGUCAGGUGUGUAAGUACAGCAAUGUAUUGAGCUAACUGAUACUAAUGAUCCGUGCGGCUUGACCAU